RNAcentral lists this ribosomal RNA (604 nucleotides) under uncultured bacterium. RNAcentral describes it as "bacterial SSU rRNA". It matches the Rfam family "Bacterial small subunit ribosomal RNA", at positions 338 to 1414 of the family's 1533-position model. The record is from RNAcentral.
CCUACGGGAGGCAGCAGUGGGGAAUUUUCCGCAAUGGGCGCAAGCCUGACGGAGCAAGACCGCGUGAGGGAGGAAGGCUCUUGGGUUGUAAACCUCUUUUAUCAGGGAAGAAGAUCUGACGGUACCUGAUGAAUCAGCAUCGGCUAACUCCGUGCCAGCAGCCGCGGUAAUACGGAGGAUGCAAGCGUUAUCCGGAUUUAUUGGGCGUAAAGCGUCCGCAGGUGGUUUUUCAAGUCUGCUGUUAAAGCGCAGAGCUUAACUCUGUAACGGCGGUGGAAACUGAGAGACUAGAGUAUGGUAGGGGUAGCGGGAAUUCCCAGUGUAGCGGUGAAAUGCGUAGAUAUUGGGAAGAACACCAGCGGCGAAAGCGCGCUACUGGGCCAUAACUGACACUCAUGGACGAAAGCUAGGGGAGCGAAAGGGAUUAGAUACCCCUGUAGUCCUAGCUGUAAACGAUGGGUACUAGGUGUUGACCGUAUCGACCCGGUCAGUGCCGUAGCUAACGCGUUAAGUACCCCGCCUGGGGAGUAUGCNCGCAGUGUGAACUACAAUAGAAGUUAGACGGCGUGAGACGUGCCGACGGACGACCGACGAGGGAGGUAGG